RNAcentral lists this long non-coding RNA (243 nucleotides) under Setaria viridis. RNAcentral describes it as "long non-coding RNA (SVIR_LNC005894)". Lineage: Eukaryota; Viridiplantae; Streptophyta; Magnoliopsida; Poales; Poaceae. The record is from RNAcentral.
GUGGAUAAUGGUUUCGACAGAUUUACAUUUAGAAAAGCCCUUGUAGAGGACAAGUAAGGUGUGUGUGCCUGUGAGUGAAAAUGAAAUGCACAUCCUACAUGCAUCUUUUAAAAAAAAAAAAGAGUUUACUCCACAAAAAAAGUAAAGAAGAGUUUACCUGGUUGCAAAUUUCUUUUUUGUCUAGGUUCAAUUUGAGGUCAGCAAGGGUGAAGGGGAGGUGGUUGUUGGAGAGUAAGCAUCACG